Long non-coding RNA from Hippocampus zosterae (dwarf seahorse), 1571 nucleotides. RefSeq lists it as uncharacterized. Lineage: Eukaryota; Metazoa; Chordata; Actinopteri; Syngnathiformes; Syngnathidae. The record is from RefSeq and is a predicted model, not a curated record. The transcript is spliced from 4 exons.
UUUACAAUGUCCCCAAAAAUGACUUGGUGACUAUUCGUUAGCCCGUCUAUGGCAUUUGUCAAUAAUCUCUUUCUGUGGUCUUUCUUCACAGCAUCAUCCUCAAGAAACAAAAAGGCAGUUGUUUGAGGAGGAGGUGUUGUUCCUUCAGGAGUUUUGCAUCUCAAUGACUCACGCUGACCGCUCGCAGACCCUCCCGCACGCCUCCCACGUCUCAACGGCCACGCCGAAGGUGUUUGUGUGUACGUAUGUAUGCGAUGAGUCACGUCUGACCUCGGCUGGAUUUCCUGGAUGGGUAAACAGCUCCUCGCCGUUAUCUCGGGAGGUGCUUUAAUAUCGGCGAGCAAACUGGCAACGUGCGGGGGAAGUGACUUGCCACUGUCACGCAUUCAAACCGGGGCGGGCAAACGUUUUGGGCCACAUUUGAGUUUUCAAUCGGUCAGAAUAGGCCACACCGUUGGUACGGUUGUUGACAUUUAAUCAAAAAUGAACAAAUGCAACUGUAAAAUGGUUUUCGAUGUUGCGUUUCCUGUUUAUGUGGACAGUGGAGAGUAUCGGGGCGGUGCGGAGGGGAACCCAAAAGCAGAACUCGUUUUCAAUCACAUCAUUGGGGGGGGAAAAAAAAAUCACAGCCAGCUGUUGCAGGCUUUCCAAACAAACUGCAAUUUACCAUUGGACAUGCUUUCAUUGUGUGUGUGUGUGUGUGUGUGUGUGUGUGUGUGUGUGUCUGUGUGUGUCGCCGUGGUUGCUGGAGAUCAUCCCAUAAUGCUUUGCAGGUGUUCAUUUGACUGAGGUGGUCAUUAGCCUUGCUUCAGGAUCUAUAGCACACAAAGACAACAAAGGUUAUGUGUGUGUGUGUGUGUGUGUGUGUGUGUGUGUGUGUGUGUGUGUGUGUGUGUGCGUACGCGUGUGUGUGCAUGUGUUUCUAGUCUGCCUCACAGUCAGGAGAUGCAAGUUAGCUUCAUUGCUCAUGCCGCCAGCGCAUCGCAGUGCCAAAUGACGCCGGCAGCGGCCAUCUUGCGUUGCCCUUUGCUAACUAAGUGUGCCUAACUUGGAUGCAUUGAUUUCUCCCAUGUUUUCUUUCUGUCUCUUUGGAGGAAAUGACGCAGCAUGUGGCUGUACGGUUACAGAGCAAGAACUCUGGGAGAAGCGCAACUUGCAAAUUUCAUCCGGAAGAAUGGGAUUAUAAACGGUGUCUCAUAAGCCCGUAGAUGCUGCUGCUGAUGAGGGCAUCGUUGCAUCCAGCCAUGCCGCAGUGAUGCUGCAGCGGGCGUGUUGUCUUCCUCCUCACCAGCGGCGGCGGCGACGGCGGCCGGCCACGCGCGCCUCACCUUGAACCGGGCAGGAGGCGCGGGGGGAGGCGGCGUUGGAGUGCGGCAAGACGCGGGAGGAUCAUUUCUCACCAUGUGGGCACCAAAACUCCAGUGACCCAAGAACUUGAUCUCACCUUUAGAAUAACGACCCCCAUCAAAGAAAAAACACUGCUGCCUUGACAUCUCAACUCUCGUCAUGAGCGCCCUGGCAGGCAAGCUGGAUCCGCGGCGGGUCCAGUGGGGUGCCAUGUGGCACACCUU